RNAcentral lists this transfer RNA (772 nucleotides) under Synechococcus sp. CBW1004. RNAcentral's name for it is "cyanobacterium CBW1004 partial 16S-23S ribosomal RNA intergenic spacer". The stretch from base 295 to 367 matches the Rfam family "tRNA". Lineage: Bacteria; Bacillati; Cyanobacteriota; Cyanophyceae; Synechococcales; Synechococcaceae. The record is from RNAcentral.
CAGGGAGACAAACCAGACAUUGCUGUUGGAUCCAUUCUGUGAUCCGGCCGAUGUCCUGUCAUCUCGAAGGUCGAUCGGUACCUCAAGCCAGGUUGCCAUGAUGAGAAGGAGACUUCUGAUCGAUGGUGAUGGUGGUUUCAGUUCCUGAACUCUGUCUAGGUCACCCCACAAGGGUAAGUACUCCUGGGCCAUUAGCUCAGGUGGUUAGAGCGCACCCCUGAUAAGGGUGAGGUCCCUGGUUCAAGUCCAGGAUGGCCCAUUCACCGCCUGCUGAGCAGGCAGGACUUGACUGCUGGGGGUUUAGCUCAGUUGGUAGAGCGCCUGCUUUGCAAGCAGGAUGUCAGCGGUUCGAGUCCGCUAACCUCCAUCCAACGAGGAAUCUCGAGUAGCGAAGGAAGGAGUCGCUGCGGUGGUGACCGAACUGCUGAACGCAUGUUGCCUCAACAGAGGUGAGGAUGCGGAAAGGAAUCUAGCCUCCAGGCAUUCUGAACGAUCAGCUGCCUGGAAGCUGGAUUCAGGCUUCUUGAAGGAGAAGCGAUGAAUUCAGCAAGAACCUUGACAACUGCAUAGGUGAGUUUGGAAAGAAAGCAUCUCAUGGAUGCCCAGCGCGAGCUGGGAUUCUAUGGAGUUUAAGAGCUGAGACUUUCCAAUGUUCUUCCAAGCCUGCCGAGGGUAAGGGAGUUUGAUCCUGGACGUCAGGAGGAGAGUGGAUUGUGCUGCGAAAGCAGGAUGGUCAGCUCAAACCUUGACGCUGGGAGAAGGGGCCUCAACA